Ruditapes philippinarum (Manila clam) is the source of this 442-nucleotide long non-coding RNA. RefSeq lists it as uncharacterized. Lineage: Eukaryota; Metazoa; Mollusca; Bivalvia; Venerida; Veneridae. The transcript is spliced from 3 exons. The record is from RefSeq and is a predicted model, not a curated record.
UCACUGGAUUACGUAUUUUGAAAGACAAAACUAGAUAAUAUUGUAUAUUUCUAAAUAUUACCACUAUAUUUUUCAGACUAUUGUUCGAUUGAUGGUAAAAUAAAUGUUUAUUACCUAAAGCAGGAAAUGGCGGGAAGAAUCCUAGCAGACGACAGUUGUCGCGCAGAUGCAAUCGUGCACCAUAUCAGACAGCCCUAAUUUAAGUUACAGGCUGACCUAGCUCUAUACUGGACUCGCUUUCAGCAGGUAGAUGACGACAAUAAAUUUUAAAGAGUGGAAAUUUGCGACUUCCGUGUGUCUGCUACUCGAUGUUGUGAUCUCAGUUACUUCCCCUGACGUUCAGUGUCGAGUUUCAGGAUUUGAAAUUAUGAAAGAAGGAACGAUAUGAAAUGAGCACCGGCAAUCUGAUCUUGGCAUGUUACAUCCUUAUCACAGAACUGGA